This 149-nucleotide small nuclear RNA is filed under the name Sorex araneus (European shrew). RNAcentral's name for it is "U1 spliceosomal RNA (ENSSARG00000015913.1)". It matches the Rfam family "U1 spliceosomal RNA". From Rfam's summary of the family: U1 is a small nuclear RNA (snRNA) component of the spliceosome (involved in pre-mRNA splicing). Its 5' end forms complementary base pairs with the 5' splice junction, thus defining the 5' donor site of an intron. The record is from RNAcentral. Lineage: Eukaryota; Metazoa; Chordata; Mammalia; Eulipotyphla; Soricidae.
AUACUUACAGUGAUCAUGAAGGUGGUUUUCCUCAGGGCAUGGCUUCUCCACAGCACUCCCAGAUGUGCUGACCCCUGCGAUUUCCCCAAAUGUGAGAUGCUCAACUGUAAAAUUUGUGGCAGUGGGGAACUGCAUUCACACUGUCCCCU